This is a long non-coding RNA of Sapajus apella (tufted capuchin), 4172 nucleotides long. RefSeq lists it as uncharacterized. The record is from RefSeq and is a predicted model, not a curated record. NCBI's taxonomy places the organism in Eukaryota, Metazoa, Chordata, Mammalia, Primates, Cebidae. The transcript has 3 exons.
CGGAAGCCUUUGAGGGAACUUCCGGCCAAGCGUGGGAACGCUGCGAACUUCCUGGAGGCAAAAUUUGAGGGGGCUGAGCAGAGAGUGGUUAGUGCGGAGCGGGCCUGGGAGACCUUGGGCGCCUCCUCUGAAAGCUGCUUUGCACGUGCCUGGGUGGUGGGUGAUGCGUUGGGCCGGAAGUAAAGACAGAGUUUCAGAGGUCUCAAACUCCUGAUCUCAGGUGAUCUGCCUGCCUCUGCCUCCGAAAGUGCUGGGAUUACAGGCAUGAGCCACUGUGCCUGGCCUAAAAUGACAUUUAAUACAAGCAUAAGAUAAUUAUUGAGUUGAAGAACUUUGAUAAAAUAAUCAGGUAUGUCACACUUUAUUCUUUUUAUGUUUGUUUUAUUUAAUGCUCAUAGCCAUCCUGAGAAUUGUUUUAUUUGUCAUUUGCAGAUAAGGAGAUGAACUCCGAGAAGAUAAAUGAUUUGCCAAAAGUCACAUGAGACAGAAAUGUAACCUGAAAUCAAAUUUGCAAUUUUCAGUUCCUGAUGUUUUUACACUAUGCUCCCAAAGUGAAUCUGUGGACAUACAUUUCCAGUACCCUCCAAAAUGAUUGUUUUAAAAUGAAAAUUAAGAUUCAGAAGAAGAGCCAGCAGUACUUUCAACAAAUGACUUAUAAAUUUGAGAGUUCAAAAACCUUGGAAAAGAAUCUCUGUGCAUUAAAGUAUAUAUCUGAAGUUGGGCAUCUUCAUACAUGUGAGGAUUAGGAUCCAACAGAUUUCUAUUGAUCACCUCUCUAACUCGAGAAUCAAGACUGACCUAAAAAGAAACAAGAGCAAAUACAUUAAAUAAUAUUUUUUUCAAAAGACCUCUAUUAAGUAACUAUAGGUUUGUGAUAUUUUACAGAAACUUUAAAGAGUAAAUCUAACUACCAAAAGUCUUGAGUUCAUUUUUUCAGACUACAUAACCUUAUGUACUUUUCUCUAUCAAAAUUUGCAUUAAAUAAACAAACAAAAAAACAGUUCUUUUAAACCAGAAACUUAGUUUACAGAUAGCUUAGCUUACUUGGAUUUAUGGUUUUAUGCAUUCAUUCAGGAGUUUUUAACAAUUUCUAAUCAUGGUUGAAAUACCAGAAAUUUCCUAACCAGAAUAUGAAUUCACCUUCUCCUAUUCUGUGGUUGGCAGAGGUUGGCAAUAUUGAUAAAAAGAUAAAAAUCUACUGACAGAAAGGAGUUCCAUGGCAAAAAUUGACAGGCAUAUAAAAUGCCAAUUCCCAAUAGUUUAAUAUCCCAACAAGUCCUACUGUGUCAAAAGUAGGAAACCAAGAAUGUGGCAGGGCAUGCAGUGAGCAGGUAUGCUUCAUGUCUUACGUCUACCUGGCAGGGACUAGCAAACAUCCUUAUACAUCCAAACACCUCUACUAAUGAUGAGGCAGAUCAAUUGCUUGGAGUGAAAUCUUUGAGAGGAGAAACAGAAAUAGGAAUGCCGAAUAACCAUUAAAAUCAAUACAGUGUUAUUUGAAAAGUGUACAGAAAUUAAGUUCUGCAGCGAUUUAGGAUGUUUCCCCUUCCUCACUAAAUGCAAAUCCUCUUGGAACUGGUAAAACAUGUUGGAAAGGGAAAUGGGGAAAAAUACUUGGCAGUAAGGGCAUGGUUGUAGGAACAGAACUAAAGCCCUGCCCUGAAAUACCAUAUUAGAACAAACCCCAAAGUGGCAAACGACCACUCAGAGUCCAGAUUGUUUUCCUCAAUCCUCACUAUUUAGCAAGGAAUAGGACCUGUGAUCCAUAGUGUUAUUUCAUGAUAUAUUCAGAUACAAACCUUCCAUAUUUAUAUUUAAACAUGUUGUCAUAAGCAUUCUGCAAAUGCCUUUUAGUUCUGGCUUCUUUUCCCAUCACUGUUUGGACUAAGUCUGAGAACGAAUUCAAUCUCUUAUUGAAGCUCCUCAUAUUCCAUCCAGUGUCCCCAAAUUCCUGAGCUCUACAGACCAAAUUGGGUUGAUUGCUACACCCAGUGAUGGCUACUAGAUUUGUUAGAUGGUAAUCCAGACUACAUUUCUGUGGCUUAGCCAAACCAACUGAUACAGGGACACCUCAUUUUACUGCACUUCCCUUUACUGUUUUUCACAGAUCCUGUGUUUGUUACAAAUUGAAGGCUUGUGAUGAUCCUUGUCAAGCAAGUUGACUGGCACCAUUUUUCCAAUAGCAUGUGCUUACUUUGUGUCUCUGUGUCACAUUUAUUAGUACUCACAAUAUUUCAAAAUUUUCAUCAUUAUUAUAUAUUUAAAGGUGAUCUGUGAUCAGUGAUCUUUGAUGUUACUCUUGUAAUUGUUUUAGGAGGCCAUGAACCAUGCCCGUAUAAGACUUAAUCAAUUCUUAAUGAUGACUAUGGUGUGUAUACUGACUGUUCCACUGACCUGCCAUCCCCACAUCUUUCUCCCUCUCCUCAGACCUCCCUAUUUCCCAAGAGACAACAGUAUUGAAAUUAGGCCAAUUAAUAACCUGCCAGUGGCCUCUAAGUGUUUAAGUGAAAGGAAGAUUCACACAUCUCUCUCAUUAAAGAAGCCAGAAAUGGUUAAACUUAGUGAGAAAGGCAUGUUAAAAGCUGAGACUGGCCAAAAACUACGCCUCUUUUGAAAGUUAGCCAAGUUGUGAAUGCAAAGGAAAUGUUCUCAAAAUUAAAAGUGCUACUCCAGCGAACACGUGAAUAAGAAAACAAAACAGCCUGUUGCUGAAACGCAAAAAGUCUGAGUGGUCUGGACAGAAGAUCAAACAUUCCCUUAAACCAAAGCCUAAUCCAGAGCAAAGUCCUAACUCUCUUCAAUUCUGUGAAGACUGAGAGAGGUAAGGAAGCUGUGUAAGAAAAGUUUGAAGCUCGCAGAGGUUGGUUCAUGAGGUUUAGGGAAAGAAGUCAUCUCCAUAACACAAAAAGCUCAAGGUGAAGCAGGAAAUGGCUGAUGUAGAAGCUGAAGUAAUUUAUUCAGAAGAUCUAGCUAAGAUAAUUGAUGGAGGUGGCUACACUAAACAACAGGUUUUCAAUAUAGACAGCCUUAUAUUGGAAGAAGAUGCUAUCUAGGACUUUCAAAGCUAGUGAGAGGUCAAUGCCUGAUAUCAAAGAUUCAAGGACAGGCUCACUCUGUUGUGAAGGACUAAUAUAGCUGGUAACUUUCAAUGGAAAUGAAUGCUUAUUUACCAUUCUGAAAAUCCUGGGGCCCUUAAGAAUUAUGCUAAAUCUACUCUGCCUGGGAACUAUAAGUGGAACUGAGGAAGGAGACCCAGGCGUCUGGGAUCAACUUCCCUUUUGACUGCCACACUGCAUUGCAAUAGAAGAAAAGGCUGAUCGACUGGCGCCUCCUGAUUCACCUUCCUGUAGGUGGCAGGCUUGGUCUUGGGGAAACUCUGGAAGACACUGUUUUUACUUAAAACAAGAUCAAACCCGAAACCUUUUCACAUGUGAGCCCUAAAACAAUAAACCGAAACCCUUUCAUAUGUGAUUCCUGAAGCUGUAAACCGAAACCCUUUCAUAUAUGAUUCCUGAAGCUGUAAACCGAAUCCCUUUUCAUAUGUGAUUUCUAAGGCUGUAAACCUAAGAUUCUUCCACAUGUAAUAUAUAAAGUAUAAGCCUAUAUAAAGGCAGAACCUUCCUUUGUUAGAUGAGCUGAAUUUGGACAAAUUAUCCCUCAGCUCCUGGCUGUAAUAAAGACCUCUUCCUUCUCCAUUCGGUGUUCAGGAGCUCUGUUUCUCGUGGCCGCUCCUGCUACAGAACAACAAAGCCUAGAUGACAGCACAUCUGUUUAAAGCAUGGCUUACUGGAUAUUUUAAGCCCACUGUUGAGCCCUACUGCUCCAAUAAAAAAAAGAUUCCUUUUCAAGUUUUACUGCUCAUUGACAAUGCUCCUGACAAUGCUCAUUGACAAUCAUCCAAGAGCUUUGAUGAAGAGGUACGAGGAAAUUAGUAUUGUUUUCACGCCUGCUAACACAACAUCCAUUCUGCAGCCCAUGGAUCAAGAAGUAAUUUCAAUUUACAAUAUUAUUUAAGAAAUCCAUUUCAUAAGACUACUGCUGCCAUGGAUAGUGAUUCCUUUGAUGGAUCUAGGCAAAGCAAAUAAAAAACCUUCUGGAAAUAAUUCACCAUUGUUUUCAUUAAGUACAUUUGUGAUUCAUCGAAGUAGGUCAAAAUAUCAACAGGAAUUUAG